This 78-nucleotide microRNA precursor is filed under the name Podarcis muralis (Common wall lizard). Its description in RNAcentral is "miRNA (ENSPMRG00000008648.1)". It matches the Rfam family "mir-140 microRNA precursor family". The record is from RNAcentral. Lineage: Eukaryota; Metazoa; Chordata; Lepidosauria; Squamata; Lacertidae.
CUGUGUCCUGCCAGUGGUUUUACCCUAUGGUAGGUUACGUCAUGCUGUUCUACCACAGGGUAGAACCACGGACAGGAU